ACUUACAAAAAUAAAAAAAUCAAUCAUAUAUGGUACAUACAAGUAUUUUGAAAACAUCACAUUUUUUCUUAGAAUUUUUGCAAGAUCAACUGAUUUAAUUUCCGCUUAUUCUCUGUGAAAGUCAAACCACAAUGUCGCGCAAAACCUUCGGCGAAAAGAAAAAAAGCCACAUAUCGCGAGUCACUUAUAACUUCGCGCUGAGCAAAGAAAUCGAAAAUGCAAUGCUUUGGCGCCAAUCGUUAGAACUUAGGGAUAAUGUACGUGGUAGAAUUAUAGAUGUCACACCCAAGCUCAUUGAUACGGAUACGAGAUCAACGCUCCGUUUUCGCAGUAUAGCGACCUAUGCCGAAGAUCUUAUAAAACAAAUGACGAAAAGUUCCAGCGUACAAAGUUUCAAUAGUCGAAGAAUAAGCAUGAGUUCAGUGAAAGCGAAGUCCAGUACACGUCUGGGUCUGAAGCUUUCACUGGAUGAAAUCAUACAAGCAAUUGGGUCGAGCGGUUCGCUUCACGAAAAUCAUCAUUAUUACCAUGAUUAUCAUGAAAUUACUUUUGCCAAGAGAGAACUGUUACCUUUUAUAAAAGUGGUUUUGCGUAAAUCGCCAGAAUUCGUGUUAUACAAUCAAAACAGUUUUACAGCACCGAAAGGCAGUGAAGAAGCCGAAGCUGUCGAAUAUGACAAUCGCAUUUAUGAUUACCUAACAAUAGGUAAGGGCAAAGUACGUCGGCGUUCCGAUGCCGAAACGCAGACAGUUGGUGUGCUGUUGAAACCGCGCACUGUCAGUACAAUUGCUAAGAAGUUCAGUGAAAAAGCGGCCUAUGUAUCAUUUUUCGAAAUGUUCGAUACCUAUCAACAAUUACUCCAAACGACGACCGUACUCGGCGAACGCCACUCACUUAGUCCGGGCGUUUUAGAUUUAAUUGCAAAAAAUCCAAAAUUUUCCUAUGCGGCCAUGGUACUGGAACGUAUAUUGGCUAGCAAUUGUUAUCAUCAGGGACAACGCCGUUAUCGCAACAUGAAUAUACCCACUAAAAUGGACGCAUAUGCUGAUUAUAAAUAUUCGCUGAAUCUCCUCUAUCGCUUGAUACAGCCUAAAUUUCAAGGUGGUUUGGAUAAGCGGCGUAAAGCUAUUGCUGCUCUAAGUUUUUGUCAUGGUAAUGGUGAUCUAAUAGCCGUCGCAUAUGGUUUCUAUUCCGACGCCUCAAAAGUAACCGUACCGAAUGGUAACGUGUGCGUUUGGAGUAUGAAGAAUCCACAAAACCCGGAACGUAUCUACAACUAUCCAGUGCCGGUGUCAACAGUUGAGUUUUCACCAUUUUUACCUUUUCUCAUUGCCAUUGGCCUAUACGAUGGCACAGUGCAAGUGCGGAACAUAACAAAACCAGACUAUCCGCCGGUUGCGAUUUCGCAGCGUAGCGUUCUAUUGAGCUGUGAACCUGUUACAGCUAUUCAAUGGAUCCGUCAAACACAAGAGAACGCUGCCGAAGCAGAUCCAUUUUUAGCACUUACUCGUGAUGGCAAAGUAGCGAAAUUUCGCAUUAUACCGAGCCCGUAUCUGUUGGGUAUGCGUCAGAUGGAGCUACUUCGUAUCGAAGGCACUCCUGAGGGUUUACAAACCAAAAAUAUUAUUAUGAAUGAAGAAAAGUCGCUCAAUUCGGGUCGUAGCGCCAGUGGUUUGCAUCUAGUUAUGCACCCCGUGCAAAGCGAUAUCUAUUACAUACUCACCGACGAAGGUUGCAUACAGAAGUGCUCGUUGAAUCACACACAUAAUUAUUUGGAAAUGUUGAAGGUACAUGAGGGAUCAGUUAACCAUAUGGAUUUCUCGCCUUGGUCACCAAAACUGUUUUUAACCUGUGGUAAUGAUUGGACCAUUCGCAUUUGGCUUGAGGGUAUUUUUCAGCCUCUAAUAACACUUUGCGACCGAUAUAUGCCAGUUCAUUGUGCCAUGUGGAGUCGCACUCAUUCAACGGUUGUAAUUGCUGUCAAUCGCGAAACUAUUGACAUAUGGGACUUACGACGAAAUUUAUUGAGCCCCAUAUCAACCACAAAUAUUGACUCUUCAUUUCAUACAUUAGCAAAACAGCAACAGAACAACGCAAUGAAUCAACUUUUUACCGAUAUUCAACGACCGACCAUGUGACCCGACGCACAGAGAUUGCUUUGCGCUUUAAAACAAUACCGAAUGUUCCAGCGCAAUCAAGCAACGAGAGGAGCGGUAACACCAGCAGCAGGCAAAUCAAAGGCAAAAGCUUUAACCACAAACGACAGGAGGAGAAAAUAACAGUGGAAUUGAUUUGAUACAACUUGGAAAUCGGAAGCUUUACUUUCGCUCAAUUAGAAGAUGCAUCAUGGCUACCGUAGUGUAGGGAAUAGAGGCGUAUGAAAGCGCGCACAUGACCUCAAUUCGUACCAAAUAUACGGCCAAGAUCAAAAAUUUCUAAUAUCGAUCGGCACUUGGCAGGAAAUAGUAUAAAUUCGAUCAUGUAAGCCAUGAAAAGGCUUCAACCAUCUGCAGUUCGGAGCUGACUUAAAAACUUAUCGGAGGCAAAGAUCGACAACAAAUCAACAAGCGAUUAAACGUUAAUUACAAAUAUUUUUAUUUAAAGUAAAAUUAUCGUCCACUUUUAUGGUUAUGUAUAUGUACUUAUAUGCCCAACAACUUCCAUUUGCUCCAAUUCUUCGCUAUGUUAGUAGUAUAAACCUCUUUUGUUCACAUUGUUAGGACUAAGCAUUGCAGCUGGAUUUUUGGUGGUUUGCAAAAAUAUUUUAUUUUGUAGCGUAAAUAAAUUCUUAACCCAAAAACAAAAAUUAAAAAAUCAAAUAAACAAGAAAAAACAUUAA
Molecule: RNA transcript, 2839 nt
Organism: Bactrocera oleae (olive fruit fly)
Lineage: Eukaryota; Metazoa; Arthropoda; Insecta; Diptera; Tephritidae
Gene name: dynein axonemal intermediate chain 4
Source: RefSeq, a predicted model, not a curated record